Molecule: ribosomal RNA, 154 nt
Filed under: [Candida] sp. CBS 10853
Lineage: Eukaryota; Fungi; Ascomycota; Saccharomycetes; Saccharomycetales
Description: Candida sp. CBS 10853 5.8S ribosomal RNA
Rfam family: 5.8S ribosomal RNA
About the family: 5.8S ribosomal RNA (5.8S rRNA) is a component of the large subunit of the eukaryotic ribosome. It is transcribed by RNA polymerase I as part of the 45S precursor that also contains 18S and 28S rRNA.
Source: RNAcentral
AAACUUUCAACAACGGAUCUCUUGGUUCUCGCAUCGAUGAAGAACGCAGCGAAACGCGAUAUGUAAUGUGAAUUGCAGAAUGUGAAUCAUCGAAUCUUUGAACGCACAUUGCGCCCUCUGGUAUUCCAGAGGGCAUACCUGUUUGAGCGUUAGU